GCCAGGCAUGGUGGUGCACACCUGUAAUCUUAGCAACUUGGGAGGCUGAGGCAGGAGGAUUGCAAGUUCAAAGCCAGCCUCAGAAACUUAGUGAAACCCUGUCUCAG
Molecule: small RNA, 107 nt
Filed under: Marmota monax (woodchuck)
Lineage: Eukaryota; Metazoa; Chordata; Mammalia; Rodentia; Sciuridae
Source: RNAcentral